GUUGUCGUGGCCGAGUGGUUAAGGCGAUGGACUUGAAAUCCAUUGGGGUCUCCCCUUUGCAGGUUUGAGUCCUGCUGACAACG
This is a non-coding RNA of Etheostoma spectabile (orangethroat darter), 83 nucleotides long. The record is from the annotation of a RefSeq genome assembly. NCBI's taxonomy places the organism in Eukaryota, Metazoa, Chordata, Actinopteri, Perciformes, Percidae.